AUUGAACGCUGGCGGCAUGCUUUACACAUGCAAGUCGAACGGUAACAGGCCGCAAGGUGCUGACGAGUGGCGAACGGGUGAGUAAUGCAUCGGAACGUGCCCAGUCGUGGGGGAUAACUACUCGAAAGAGUAGCUAAUACCGCAUACGAUCUAUGGAUGAAAGCGGGGGACCGUAAGGCCUCGCGCGAUUGGAGCGGCCGAUGUCAGAUUAGGUAGUUGGUGGGGUAAAGGCUCACCAAGCCAACGAUCUGUAGCUGGUCUGAGAGGACGACAAGCCACACGGGAACUGAGACACGGCCCGGACGCCUGGGGGAGGCAGCAGUGGGAAAUUUUGGAAAAUGGGGGCAAGCCUGAUCCAGCAAUGCGGCGUGAAGGAAGAAGGCCUUGGGGUUGUAAACUGUUUUUGUGGGGAACAAAAGGGCUCUGUUUAAUCCCGGGGGAUAAUGACGGUACCGAAAAAAUAAGCCCCGGCUAACUACGUG
Molecule: ribosomal RNA, 482 nt
Filed under: uncultured bacterium
Lineage: Bacteria
Description: partial 16S ribosomal RNA
Rfam family: Bacterial small subunit ribosomal RNA
Source: RNAcentral